This 1395-nucleotide ribosomal RNA is filed under the name Streptococcus salivarius. RNAcentral describes it as "bacterial SSU rRNA". It matches the Rfam family "Bacterial small subunit ribosomal RNA". Lineage: Bacteria; Bacillati; Bacillota; Bacilli; Lactobacillales; Streptococcaceae. RNAcentral also lists the same sequence under 1 other name. The record is from RNAcentral.
AGAACGCUGAAGAGAGGAGCUUGCUCUUCUUGGAUGAGUUGCGAACGGGUGAGUAACGCGUAGGUAACCUGCCUUGUAGCGGGGGAUAACUAUUGGAAACGAUAGCUAAUACCGCAUAACAAUGGAUGACACAUGUCAUUUAUUUGAAAGGGGCAAUUGCUCCACUACAAGAUGGACCUGCGUUGUAUUAGCUAGUAGGUGAGGUAACGGCUCACCUAGGCGACGAUACAUAGCCGACCUGAGAGGGUGAUCGGCCACACUGGGACUGAGACACGGCCCAGACUCCUACGGGAGGCAGCAGUAGGGAAUCUUCGGCAAUGGGGGCAACCCUGACCGAGCAACGCCGCGUGAGUGAAGAAGGUUUUCGGAUCGUAAAGCUCUGUUGUAAGUCAAGAACGAGUGUGAGAGUGGAAAGUUCACACUGUGACGGUAGCUUACCAGAAAGGGACGGCUAACUACGUGCCAGCAGCCGCGGUAAUACGUAGGUCCCGAGCGUUGUCCGGAUUUAUUGGGCGUAAAGCGAGCGCAGGCGGUUUGAUAAGUCUGAAGUUAAAGGCUGUGGCUCAACCAUAGUUCGCUUUGGAAACUGUCAAACUUGAGUGCAGAAGGGGAGAGUGGAAUUCCAUGUGUAGCGGUGAAAUGCGUAGAUAUAUGGAGGAACACCGGUGGCGAAAGCGGCUCUCUGGUCUGUAACUGACGCUGAGGCUCGAAAGCGUGGGGAGCGAACAGGAUUAGAUACCCUGGUAGUCCACGCCGUAAACGAUGAGUGCUAGGUGUUGGAUCCUUUCCGGGAUUCAGUGCCGCAGCUAACGCAUUAAGCACUCCGCCUGGGGAGUACGACCGCAAGGUUGAAACUCAAAGGAAUUGACGGGGGCCCGCACAAGCGGUGGAGCAUGUGGUUUAAUUCGAAGCAACGCGAAGAACCUUACCAGGUCUUGACAUCCCGAUGCUAUUUCUAGAGAUAGAAAGUUACUUCGGUACAUCGGUGACAGGUGGUGCAUGGUUGUCGUCAGCUCGUGUCGUGAGAUGUUGGGUUAAGUCCCGCAACGAGCGCAACCCCUAUUGUUAGUUGCCAUCAUUCAGUUGGGCACUCUAGCGAGACUGCCGGUAAUAAACCGGAGGAAGGUGGGGAUGACGUCAAAUCAUCAUGCCCCUUAUGACCUGGGCUACACACGUGCUACAAUGGUUGGUACAACGAGUUGCGAGUCGGUGACGGCAAGCUAAUCUCUUAAAGCCAAUCUCAGUUCGGAUUGUAGGCUGCAACUCGCCUACAUGAAGUCGGAAUCGCUAGUAAUCGCGGAUCAGCACGCCGCGGUGAAUACGUUCCCGGGCCUUGUACACACCGCCCGUCACACCACGAGAGUUUGUAACACCCGAAGUCGGUGAGGUAACCUU